CCUACGGGAGGCAGCAGUGGGGAAUAUUGCACAAUGGGGGAAACCCUGAUGCAGCGACGCCGCGUGAGUGAAGAAGUAAUUCGUUAUGUAAAGCUCUAUCAGCAGGGAAGAAAAUGACGGUACCUGAGUAAGAAGCCCCGGCUAACUACGUGCCAGCAGCCGCGGUCAUACGUAGGGGGCAAGCGUUAUCCGGAUUUACUGGGGGUAAAGGGAGCGUAGACGGCAGUGCAAGUCUGGAGUGAAAGGCGGGGGCUCAACCACCGGACUGCUCUGGAAACUGUACGGCUGGAGUGCAGGAGAGGUAAGUGGAAUUCCUAGUGUAGCGGUGAAAUGCGUAGAUAUUAGGAGGAACACCAGUGGCGAAGGCGGCUUACUGGACUGUAACUGACGUUGAGGCUCGAAAGCGUGGGGAGCAAACAGGAUUAGAUACCCUUGUAGUC
RNAcentral lists this ribosomal RNA (440 nucleotides) under uncultured bacterium. Its description in RNAcentral is "partial 16S ribosomal RNA". It matches the Rfam family "Bacterial small subunit ribosomal RNA", at positions 338 to 795 of the family's 1533-position model. The record is from RNAcentral.